AUAUUGUCUGAAUAAUAAAUUUAGAAAAUAUAUUAUCACAGCUGUCCCUUGAUUUAUGCUAUUAAAUUUGUAGUUCAAAAAUAAUGUGGUUAAUGAUAGAGCGAUAAUACAAAACUUUGAAAUGUCAAAAUUAAAAAUGACUUAUAUUAUUCCAAAUAAUCUUUGGUGGAUAAAAAUGGUAUGCCCUCCAUUGUCCAUCACGAAUUCCAAGAACAUAUUUUGGAAUGGACUAAAUUUGAGAAAACAACAUAGUAAAGUUUGCCAUAAAAAUAAGAAAAUUUUGAAUAUGGAUACAUUGCAAGAACAAAUAAGUAAACUAGAGAAUAGUGACCCUGGAAGCAUUAGGGAACAGUCAAAACAAAUCAUAAAGGAAAUCGCUGAGGGAAAGAGGACUGGGGUUUGCUUUGUGACUGAAGCCGAUAAUGAUGAUUUGCAUGCAGCAGGUACAACUCCUAUCACAUUUCUCCGCCAGGUUCUUGUUCUCUGCAUGUAUCCUACACUUCUGCAAGAUUCUCGGUUUUCGGAAGAUGCAAAGUGCAGAGCCAAAUGCAUCCUAUCAAGUAUCAAAGGCUCCAGUUUAGGAUCUUGUCCCCACCACCUAGGAUUACCUCUCAUCAGAGAACAUAUAGCUGAAUAUAUUUCAACAAGAGACAAUGGUGUUAAAUCUGAGCCAAGUAAUCUAAUUCUACAUAGCUCAGCACAGGAUGCCAUCAAGAACACUUUGAAAUUGUUCGCGAGAACAAUAGAUGGGAAACCCACCGGAGUCCUUCUCCCUAUUCCACAUCCUCCCGUUUAUAGUGCAUGGUUGUCUGAGCUAGGAUUAUAUGAGAUAGGAUAUCAAUUAAACGAGAAAAAGAAUUGGAAUUUCAACAAAAAACAAUUGGAAAAAAGUAUAGCUGAUGCUCAAUGCCAUUCUGUACCGAGGGUUCUUGUGGCAGUAAAUCCUGGAAAUCCUACUGGUCAAGUAUUCUCAAGACAGAAUAUUACAGAAAUCAUCAAAUUAGCUCACAAAGAAAAACUAUUCAUCUUGGCAGAUGAGAUUUAUCAAGAAAAUGUGUAUAGUGAGACGUCUGAGUUUUAUUCGUUCAAAAAGGUGAAGCACGAGCUUGGGCCACCAUUCGAUAGGAUGGAAUUGGCUUCUUUCCUUUCGGCAUCGAAGGGAAUCUAUGGCGAGUGCGGUUUGAGUGGCUGUUGUGUUGAAUUUGAUGAAAUUGAUGAAGAAGUAAGGGAGAAAAUAAAAAUAAGUCAUUCCAACUUAUUAGGUCCAAAUAUGGUUGGCCAGGUGGUGUUGAGUUGCAUGGCGAAACCCCCCACUGAAGAAAAUGACAGUUUUGAAUUAUAUCUGAGAGAAAAGUGCUGUAUUCUGACGGGACUGAUGCAAAAGGCGAAAUUGGUUUCUGACAGACUGAAUGCUAUUCCUGGCAUAACAAUAGCUCCAAUUGAAGGUGGACUGUAUGGCUAUGGUUGAAUUACCGAAGUCGGCUACUUAUGAAAACCUUGAUCCGAGUGAACUAUGGUGCAAGAAGCUACUGGAAAGCACAGGCAUUCGUUUCACCCCUGGAUCGGCAUUUGGCACAAUACCCGAUUCAUAUUAUUUCAGAAUCAGUUUUGUUCAACCUUUUGAGACUCUGGAGAAUAUUACGGAUGCAGUGAAGCGACACCACUUGGAGUUUUUGAAAAGCUACAAGAAAUGAUGAGCUGAUAGUGUGUGAUCGAAGUGAAAUCUGUCAUUUUUGUCAUGUAUCCCUUCUGUGAAGAAUAAUAAAGUAUCUUGUCAAUAAAGAAAA
RNAcentral lists this unclassified non-coding RNA (1787 nucleotides) under Nilaparvata lugens (brown planthopper). Its description in RNAcentral is "alanine aminotransferase 1, transcript variant X3". Lineage: Eukaryota; Metazoa; Arthropoda; Insecta; Hemiptera; Delphacidae. The record is from RNAcentral.